GACGAACGCUGGCGGCGUGCCUAAUACAUGCAAGUAGAACGCUGAAGGAGGAGCUUGCUUCUCUGGAUGAGUUGCGAACGGGUGAGUAACGCGUAGGUAACCUGCCUGGUAGCGGGGGAUAACUAUUGGAAACGAUAGCUAAUACCGCAUAAUAGUAGAUGUUGCAUGACAUUUGCUUAAAAGGUGCAAUUGCAUCACUACCAGAUGGACCUGCGUUGUAUUAGCUAGUUGGUGGGGUAACGGCUCACCAAGGCGACGAUACAUAGCCGACCUGAGAGGGUGAUCGGCCACACUGGGACUGAGACACGGCCCAGACUCCUACGGGAGGCAGCAGUAGGGAAUCUUCGGCAAUGGACGGAAGUCUGACCGAGCAACGCCGCGUGAGUGAAGAAGGUUGUCGGAUCGUAAAGCUCUGUUGUAAGAGAAGAACGAGUGUGAGAGUGGAAAGUUCACACUGUGACGGUAUCUUACCAGAAAGGGACGGCUAACUACGUG
RNAcentral lists this ribosomal RNA (495 nucleotides) under uncultured bacterium. Its description in RNAcentral is "partial 16S ribosomal RNA". It matches the Rfam family "Bacterial small subunit ribosomal RNA", at positions 28 to 507 of the family's 1533-position model. The record is from RNAcentral.